GCAGUCGAACGAGAGANGAGAAGCUUGCUUUUCAAAUCUAGUGGCGAACGGGUGAGUAACGCGUGAGUAACCUGCCUUAAAGAGGGGGACAACAGUUGGAAACGACUGCUAAUACCGCAUAAGCCCACACUACCGCAUGGUAGAGGGGGAAAAGAUUUAUCGCUUUAAGAUGGACUCGCGUCUGAUUAGCUAGUUGGUGGGGUAAUGGCCUACCAAGGCGACGAUCAGUAGCCGGACUGAGAGGUUGAUCGGCCACAUUGGGACUGAGACACGGCCCAGACUCCUACGGGAGGCAGCAGUGGGGGAUAUUGCACAAUGGGGGAAACCCUGAUGCAGCGACGCCGCGUGGAGGAAGAAGGUUUUCGGAUCGUAAACUCCUGUUGUCAGGGACGAUAAUGACGGUACCUGACAAGAAAGUGACGGCUAACUACGUGCCAGCAGCCGCGGUAAAACGUAGGUCACAAGCGUUGUCCGGAAUUACUGGGUGUAAAGGGAGCGCAGGCGGGAAGAUAAGUUGGAAGUGAAAUCUAUGGGCUCAACCCAUAAACUGCUUUCAAAACUAUUUUUCUUGAGUGGUGCAGAGGUAGGCGGAAUUCCUAGUGUAGCGGUGGAAUGCGUAGAUAUUAGGAGGAACACCAGUGGCGAANGCGGCCUACUGGGCACUAACUGACGCUGANGCUCGAAAGCAUGGGUAGCAAACAGGAUUAGAUACCCUGGUAGUCCAUGCCGUAAACGAUGAUUACUANNUGUUGGAGGAUUGACCCCUUCAGUGCCGCAGCUAACGCAAUAAGUAAUCCACCUGGGGAGUACGACCGCA
This 817-nucleotide ribosomal RNA is filed under the name uncultured bacterium. Its description in RNAcentral is "bacterial SSU rRNA". It matches the Rfam family "Bacterial small subunit ribosomal RNA", at positions 57 to 890 of the family's 1533-position model. The record is from RNAcentral.